GGGCGGAGGAUCCAGUGCCGAAUGAAGCGUGACUUGAACAUUGCGGUUGAGCGAAACGGCCGGAUAGAAAACGCCGCAUAGGUCGACGAAUGCCACCGUACCCUAAAGAGAAAAAAGAAAAAUUAUCGACCGUUCCCGGCUCUUCGUUGACGAAGAAACUCAACUGACGCCGGUCGAGGUCGAGUAGGACACCAAUUGUAGAACCGACGUCGAUUCCGCCAUCGGUUCGAUGGCUGUGCACGUUAUUGUGUAGGAACCAGGACCGUUGAUGGUCAAUGUACAUGGACCAUCCUAAUUCGUCUUUGCCUGAUACCCAGCAUGGAAUCUCUUGCGACGUCUCGCCUAGCGACGCCAAAUGCUGGAUCGGCUGCUCCAUCGUAACGGUCGACGGUGAAUUCCCAGUAGUGGACGCCACGUGAGAAACCGACCGAACUAAGCAGAACACGCGGUUCGUAACUGUCGGUCGUGGCAGUUAGUCCGUCUGGCGAUAAACGAGUUUCUGCUGGAUAGGCUGUCAUAUCAAAUGUGGAAAUGGAACACCCUUGCGGAUAACAAUUAAAAAAUGUUUCACCUUCGGCCGUGUGAAGACCCAGCGAAUCGCUGUAGGGCCCUUCACCGCUGCUGUUGAAGGCUUUAACACGGGCGUUAUAAAGCGAAUUGAAAUGCAGGCCGUCCACCGUGCAGAUGGUUUCCUUGCCACAGUAAACCUCCUAGGUGAACAUAUCGCGUGAGAAAUUUUUAAUUAUAUUCCCAUUAGAAUAAUAACAUUUUUUGUUUUUCUUCGGUGUGGGACUUACGCGGAAACGGCCGGCGGCGACGCCUCCUCCAUCGUCCAGCUCGAGGACGUAACCUUCGACAAAGGAGGCCGGAUGCGGUUGCCAGGCUACGUGGACAUGAUCAUCUGGUGAGGAGAGGGAUCGUAACUCCAUUUCCCCGCAAUUGUCUAUUCACUCCCGUUUGAUCGUUUACUACGGCCGUAAGCCAGUCAAUCGGCAUGCGCCUGUGCGUGCGUGAUUCGCAUGUCAAGCUCCGUGUAAUUCGAUUGAGUCACGGCUAGACGUAAAGCUCCUUAGCUGACCGUUGUCUACCCGAAAAGACGAAUGACUUGCGGCGUUUUCCCUCCCAAAGACAAAGAAAAAGUUGCCUUUUUAAGACUCCAAUUUCAAGCGUGUACGUGUGUGACUGAAACUUUUGGCCGGCCCCUGUGGCAACCGUCCCGAUAAUUCUCUUUGGCCACGAAAAAAAAAAGAACGAAAUUUAAUAGAGUUCGCGAUUUCUCUUCAUCUAAGGCGAUAGCCUGACAUGGGGGAAUACACUGGCCAAAAUGGUAUCCAUCUUCAUCUAAUAAAGGCAGUGAAACGCGCCAGACAUGUUCCAAGAGAACUAUGCCUUUGCUUAGAACUUUGGGUGAAACUGUUGCGUGGGAUCGUGCGGUUCUCCAUUAAUCAUCGGCCAAUUCCCCGCAGCCGAGCGGGAAGUUUGUCAUUAAGCUGAAAAAGCCGAGCAGAACGAUGGAGGCCAUACUCUCCUCGUUUCCCAAUAAUCGCACAGAGCGAGAUAUUGCAUUUCUAAGAACGUGCGCUGUGCCCGCUGGAAAGUCAGUUGGUCAAUGUUGCGCCGAAGACCUAAAUCGUCCAACGUGAGCUCAAGUGUCGGACUAGCCCGAUUGGUCAAUUCGUCCAUUUCCUGUCGCCAUGUCAGAUCUAAAUUAGAGACGCGAUUGACUAGCAUCGACCCAAUCUGUAAAAUAAAGAGAGAAAAGAAAAACAAUCGAUAAAAGAUUUGAAAUAAAAUGCUUCGAUGCAGAAUUGAACGAGCGCCGUCGUGUGCUGCAGGUGGGCCGUGCAAGUGGCCACCUCUUCCCGCAAUCGUCGCAAUUGCAAGUCACGUUCACGCCGGGCAAAGUCCACCAGGGCUUCUUCCCUGCGUCGCAAUGCUUCCAUCAGUUCCAGACAUUGAACAUGGAUGGCCGAUUCGACGUUGGCACAACUCUCCUAGGAAAUAAAAAGAACACGGCAAAAUGGAUAGAACAUGAAAAUACCGACUUCAUUCAUCUUCCCGCCGACAGAUGGCCACCCGUCAUUUACCUGGACUCGUUCCGACGAGCUCUUCAAGCGAUGGAUCACCUCCGUCGCACUUUUGGCUUUCUCCGACAGCUGUUGCAACGAUUGCGUCAACUCGGCCUGAAAUAAAUCAGAUAAGCGCCAAUAGAUGGACGUCGUGAUUUUGAUGACGACCGGCAUCUGAUAAAACGCACAAGUGGCAGGCUCCCAAUCGACAAGUGUUGCAAUAAUAAGAUUGGACCUGAUCACUGUGUUCGCUGCAGUGUGGAACGGCAUCUGAAGACGACUGCUGUUGCUGUCGGGAAGGCAACAAACAAAAAGAAGGUGGGGUGACGAUGAUGUGGCACGCUAUUUUGCUUCAUUGGAUGACGGCUGUGAGUGGAGAUAAGAGCGUAGGCUCCCGCUGCAAGUUGAAAACCAAUUAUAAAGAAAAAGUUUAAGACGACGAAAGAAGGUGUAUAUACCAGGUUUCCAAGACAACGACGAUUCCAUAUCGUCCCGAACAUUAGAACCACAGCAUAACCAUAACAGGAUAACGUACCAACUGUAAUAGAUCUAUAACAAGAAGCGACUAUUCAAAACGCGGGAAUGGCGAUCGCGAGAGAACUAGUGGCUCCAGGUGAAGGGGUGUUCCGGCAGUGAAUAAUAUUACGACCGAUUUCACCCAUUCCGUAGUCGAAAACAAAGUCCUCUAUUAGACUUCCGUCAGCACCAAGAGCUUGAGCACGGACCCCAGCUGGCCCUCUGCAAAAUAGAAAUAAAAGUGGUUAGUAAUGAUGCAGAAAAUGAACGUACAUUAAAAAGCUCUUUUACAGCUAAACCAACGAAGGCGGAUCGGACUAUUUCUUGAACUCCGAACGAAGCAUAUUUCAAUGCUAAUUUCUGGAAACCACGAUAACUCAACGAAUCGGCAAGGUCUCCUAUACCUGUAUCCUUCACGCUUCAAAGCUAAUACAGCAUUAGGCCCUAGCCAAACAGAUCCAUCUAUUCUUGGGGUAAAGUGGACACCGAGGAAUGGGAAACGAGGAUCAGAUGCCCUACCGGGUAGAUAUUUCCUUUCACUAAAUGUGAUUUCGCAGGAUUGAGCAAAAGAUAUUCACCACGGAAAGGCACAAUGCGUGGCUCCCUCGAGCAGCCUGAAAGUUCUGCCAAACGAUCCGAUUGCAGGCCACCACAAGUUAAGACGUACCGGCAGCGUACAGAUUGCUAAAGAGUAAGUUUCACUUCCGAUUUACUAAUUGCUACAAGCAUAAUUGAAGAACACCUUACCCCAUUGCUUGCUGUGACUUGUAUGCCUUUUUUAUUUGCUGCCACCGCCUUGACUUUACUUUCUUGGGCAACUUUGAAAUCCUUAACUUCAAAGUUGAGAUGAAUUUCACCUCCUAGUGAUUUGAAAUCCUCGCCAUAAUAUUGGGUGACUAAACCCCAGUCCACGAUUCCGGUAUGUGGCGACCACACCGCUUUCAGACCCUAACAAUAGGAUAAACAAUGUAACACUAGCUGAACCAAAGAUGAUGAAAAAUCAUACUUUGUAUGUACCUGACAGUAGGGUUCUAUUUCUUUGAUUUUUGCUCCGUCAACCAUUUGAAUAUCUGGGACACCGUUCUUAAUUCCGCGGUUGUAGAGAUCCUCCAGCCUUGGCAACUCCUCUUUGGCAACAGCUACAAUAAGCUUGCCACAUUUUUUGUAGGGAAUCCCUUUCUCGUCAAAAUACUUGUAGGACAGGUGGAGGCCUUCAACACACAGUUUUGCUUUCAGCGAACCAGGUUUAUAAUAAAUCCCACCAUGUAUCACUCCACUAUUGUGCCCACUUUGAUGUGCAGCUGAAAUUAAACAGAAACAUCUAUUCAUAAAUUCAAAAUCAUUAUCCACCUUAUGUUAACAUCUUGAAAUGGGUCAAAUUUCAUGUUCAUUAGAGGCAUGAACUGAAAUAACAGGAUAUACAAAUUACCCAAACGGUUUUCUUUUUCAAGAACUGCAAAUUUUAAAUUUGGGUGUCUCAUUAACAUCUCCCUUGCAGCUGCCAUCCCAACAAUUCCACCACCAACAAUAACAACAUCAUAUUCUGGCUCCGUUCUUGAUUACAAAAAGAGGCAAUUAGCAUCUGAUUAUCUGUUGAAUGUUUAGAGCAAAAUGCACCACAUUUCAUUACUUAAUCUUUUAAAAUAGAGAUAUUGUUACCCUUGAGAUGAAAAUUUUCUAUUUAUAGCCGAUGACGAAGCUGGAAAACAAACUGCAUUUUGAACAUUUUGGUGGUUUCUCGAAAACGAAGUACAUUUGCGUGCAUUUCGGAAAACGUUGUGCAUUGUGGUAAUCUUCGACAAGUUGUUCGUUCGUCUUGUGUGUUACGUGAGAUGACGGUUUAUGUAAUGUUUGUUGUCGUGCUGAGGGUCAGGUCGACGAGUACAAGAGCCGGCAAGGGCAACAACAAGGUUGAACGUUGGUUCAGCUUACACAGUUCCACCACACUCCAAAAGGUGGCCUUCAUUUAUUUCAAAAAAGAAAUCACACUGCCAUCACAUGCUGAGCAGUUCUUUGAAUUUGUAAUCUCGUCCUUGAGUUGAUCUUUGAUUGUUUUCCGGUUUGAAAUCAAAUAAAACUAAUUCGUAAAAUCUUUGCGAUAACGUGACCUAGAUAAAGCUUAUAACAGCUGUAAAGGAAAACCAUGUAUUUUUCGAUUGGCUCCAAACUCGGGUAAGACACUCUUUCAUCUGUUUGGGUUCAUGAAUUUCUGAUCCAUAUGAGCACAGACUACGAAGUCUGUGAUAUGAGUAAGCAACGAUAAACGAACGUAAUAGUUAAAACAAAAAC
This is a long non-coding RNA of Daphnia magna, 4874 nucleotides long. RefSeq lists it as uncharacterized. The record is from RefSeq and is a predicted model, not a curated record. NCBI's taxonomy places the organism in Eukaryota, Metazoa, Arthropoda, Branchiopoda, Diplostraca, Daphniidae. The transcript is spliced from 14 exons.